AACCAGAGUAAUAACAGCCAUACAGAAGGGUUAUGAUGAAGUGAGUCACAGAUCGCAACAAAUGACAGGACACCACAGUAGACCAAAAAGCGGCUGCGCCCGAGACUAGCCUCUGAAGCAGUGAGUUUAGUGUGCUGCUCAUAAAACCAGGGUGACUAAAGGAAUGGCUGCUGCUCAUAGAACCGCGAGGAGGGGCCUCAUGAGUCUUGGAAGCUUCAGGACCUUCCUGAGAGUUGAUUUAUUCUCUUCUAGAGCCUGAAUGGAAAUGGCCGCCCGGCACUGACCUGAGAACCGGUCAGUGAGGCAGGGAGACAGGGUGAAGGAAUGCUCAACUGCCUCCUGCUCCACUGUGUCCAGGCGUUCUGCCUGAAGUCACCUGUGAGAGUGAGAGAGAGGAGUGUGGCGCCGGACAGCAGGGCUGCCCAAUCUGUCAGGAGCAUUCAGGCAGCCACAAGGCCCUGGGGUCUCAGGGUCAGGCCAGCAUGCAGUCAGCCCUUCAGGAGCAGACUGGGGAAUCUCCCAGCCUUCUUUUCUUAACCUUGAAACUCAUCAAGUGGCCCAGGCUGACUGCACCCGUCUCUGCUUCCCUGGUGCUGCUGUUUCAGUUAAAAACAAAACAAAAGCAAACAACAAACAAGCAAUGAACCAGGCUCCAGACAUCAAUCUCGGGCCCGGGCUCUCGGGUUGAAGUCCUCCGGGUUGAAGUCCAGCCUGCCCGUGAUGCUUAGCGAAGGGGCGUGAGAACCCGCGAGCUGGCCGGCUGGCCGCACAGGUGCGCGUGCUAGGGAAGAUCGUCGCCCGGAGACGUCUUUCCCGGAGGCCCCGCGCGGUGUGCGCCCCGGCUCCCCCGACCUCUCCGGCCGCGGCCCGGCCCCCGACCCCCCGGCCGCGCCUCCUGCCCCGCUGCGGACCCCGCCCGGGAUGCGCCCGCCUCCUCCCGAGCGCCCUCGGGUCGCCGGCCUGGAAUCGUCAGCCUAGCUGGUCGCAGUCGUCAGGGAAACGCCACUUCUCCGGACAUGCGGCAGAAAGACCCGUGCCAGAAGCAAGCCUGUGACAUUCAGAAGUGUUUGCAGGCCAACAACUACUUGGAGGCCAAGUGCCAGGCCGUGAUCCAGGAGCUUCGCAAGUGCUGCGCCCGCUACCCCAGGGGCACGUCUCUCGUCUGCUCCGGCUUUGAGAAAGAGGAGGAGGAGAACCUGGCACUCAAGACCGGACCCAAGUGAAGCUGUGCUGAGAAAGAAGUUAAAUUCGCUUCAUGCUCCCUCCGCGAGCUGUUUGCCAGGUAGCAGCAAACAGCAAGGGAAAGCCGACGGUGAGGCUAGCAGACAUGCCGUCCACGCAAAACAGACGGAAAUAGUAACCCGUGUUAGAAAAUACAUGUGUGUAAAGGAGAAGGGAGGUGCCGAAAUAAACCCACUUUACACGAAAACGAAACAAGCAAAAAGCAAACAAA
Molecule: long non-coding RNA, 1453 nt
Organism: Psammomys obesus (fat sand rat)
Lineage: Eukaryota; Metazoa; Chordata; Mammalia; Rodentia; Muridae
Exons: 3
Source: RefSeq, a predicted model, not a curated record